AACGAACGCUGGCGGCAUGCCUAACACAUGCAAGUCGAACGAGACCUUCGGGUCUAGUGGCGCACGGGCGCGUAACGCGUGGGAACCUGCCUUUAGGUUCGGAAUAACUCAGAGAAAUUUAAGCUAAUACCGGAUGAUGUCUUCGGACCAAAGAUUUAUCGCCUUUAGAUGGGCCCGCGUUGGAUUAGCUAGUUGGUGGGGUAAAGGCCUACCAAGGCGACGAUCCAUAGCUGGUCUGAGAGGAUGAUCAGCCACACUGGGACUGAGACACGGCCCAGACUCCUACGGGAGGCAGCAGUGGGGAAUAUUGGACAAUGGGCGAAAGCCUGAUCCAGCAAUGCCGCGUGAGUGAUGAAGGCCUUAGGGUUGUAAAGCUCUUUUACCCGAGAUGAUAAUGACAGUAUCGGGAGAAUAAGCUCCGGCUAACUCCGU
This 432-nucleotide ribosomal RNA is filed under the name uncultured bacterium. RNAcentral describes it as "partial 16S ribosomal RNA". It matches the Rfam family "Bacterial small subunit ribosomal RNA", at positions 29 to 506 of the family's 1533-position model. The record is from RNAcentral.